CAGUCGCCGCGGUAAUACGGAGGGUGCAAGCGUUAAUCGGAAUUACUGGGCGUAAAGCGCACGCAGGCGGUCUGUCAAGUCAGUUGUGAAAUCCCCGGGCUUAACCUGGGAACUGCAUUUGAAACUGGCAGGCUAGAGUCUUGUAGAGGGGGGUAGAAUUCCAGGUGUAGCGGUGAAAUGCGUAGAGAUCUGGAGGAAUACCGGUGGCGAAGGCGGCCCCCUGGACAAAGACUGACGCUCAGGUGCGAAAGCGUGGGGAGCAAACAGGAUUAGAUACCCCUGUCCCUGUCUCUUAUACACA
RNAcentral lists this ribosomal RNA (301 nucleotides) under uncultured bacterium. RNAcentral's name for it is "partial 16S ribosomal RNA". It matches the Rfam family "Bacterial small subunit ribosomal RNA", at positions 509 to 810 of the family's 1533-position model. The record is from RNAcentral.